GUGCCAGCCGCCGCGGUAAUACGGAGGGUGCAAGCGUUGUCCAGAAUCACUGGGCGUAAAGGGUGCGCAGGCGGGGCAGCAAGUCGGAUGUGAAACCCUAUGGCUUAACCAUGGAGGUGCAUUCGAAACUGUUGCUCUUGAGUCCCGGAGAGGCUGUCGGAAUUCGUGGUGUAGCGGUGAAAUGCGUAGAUAUCACGAGGAACACCAGAGGCGAAAGCGGACAACUGGACGGGUACUGACGCUCAGGCACGAAAGCGUGGGGAGCAAACAGGAUUAGAAACCCGAGUAGUCC
RNAcentral lists this ribosomal RNA (292 nucleotides) under uncultured bacterium. RNAcentral describes it as "partial 16S ribosomal RNA". It matches the Rfam family "Bacterial small subunit ribosomal RNA", at positions 505 to 796 of the family's 1533-position model. The record is from RNAcentral.